AACAUCGCGCACCUGCGGGAACCUGCGGAAGGAUCAUUAUCGAGUUUACAACUCCCAAACCCCUGUGAACAUACCAAUCGUUGCCUCGGCGGGACCGCCCCGGCGCCCCCGGGCCCGGACCCAGGCGCCCGCCGGAGGACCCCCAAACUCACUUGAUUCCACGGUGUAUCUUCUGAGUGACACAAGCAAAUAAAAUCAAAACUUUCAGCAAUGGAUCU
RNAcentral lists this unclassified non-coding RNA (218 nucleotides) under soil metagenome. RNAcentral's name for it is "partial contains 5.8S ribosomal RNA, internal transcribed spacer 2, and large subunit ribosomal RNA". The record is from RNAcentral.